GGCCUCGCUGCAGGAGCGCAUCCCUCUGUGAGCGGCGGCUGGUCGGGUCUCGACCACGUGGACGGCGGCGCACGCGGGCCGCUUGGGGCAGCGCCGGGCUGCAGGGUGACGUGACGGGGACCGCUUCUGCGCCCUGUGCUAGCCGUGACGCCCGGGCGUCAGCUCCAUCUCCCCUAGACUGUGCCCGGCUGUGGGACGGGCGCCGCCGGGACUACGCUUUCUCUCGCCCCCGCGCUCCUCGCCGAGGCCCCCGAAGGCGGCGACCCGGGCCUUUCGAGCAUCUGACGCCGUUGUCUAGCAAGGCUCGGAGUGCGACACGGAGCCACAGGCGACCCCGCCCAGGCUGAGCCCUCGGGACCCGCCCUGGUCACCCUUAUCUCAGGGACCCGCUCGGCCCACUCGGUCCCCCGGUGGUGGCAGGGGCAGCAGCACGGAUGAAUACGGCCCAGGGCUGUGUGACCUUCGAGGACGUGUUCGUGUACUUCUCCCGGGAGGAAUGGGAGCUCCUUGAGGAGGCCCAGAGACUUCUGUACCGCGAUGUGAUGCUGGAGAACUUUGCGCUUGUGUCCUCCCUGGGACUUGCAGUUUCCAGGUCCCAUGUUGUUUCCCAGAUGGAGCCGGAGGGAAGCCCAGGGUGCCUGAGAAGGUAGACGCAGCCGCAGCUGCAGCCAAGAAGGCUCGGUCGGCGGCACGCAGCGAAGGACAAGGCUCUACCCUCUGACACUUCUGACACUGUGACAGCGGUGUCACAGAUGAGAACUCCUCAGGCACGUCCUGCCCCCUGAGAGGCUCACCCCUGUGACAUGUGUGGCCCGGUCUGGACAGACAUCUUUGCACCUGGCUGAGCCAAAGGGAACACCAUCCAGGCAACAGGCCAACCCCAACACUUGAGUCACUAUAGCUGAGACUCCUGGGUAGUAUAGACCUUGACCAGAUGCAGAAGCAGCAAAGUGGAGAAAAUGUCUUCAGAAAGUAAGGGACCAGGCCUGCCUGGUUUGUGAAGAUCGGCAGCCGCCGUGUGUCAGAGAAGGCCUUCACCUGCAGGCCGGGUGGGAGGGCUCUGUUUCCCGCUGUGGACCUGGCAGGCACCACGCCCCUUGCGGUGGGUGAAAACCACACUAGGGCCCUGAGUGCGGUGGGCCUUCUGCAUAGCAGGUUUACUUUAGGCAGGAAAGCACAAGCUGAGGCCAUAAAGCCUUCGGCUUGUUGGAGGCGGCCUCACUCCAGGCUUGCUUGACUCAGAGCUUCUUGGGGGCCGCGUGGUUGGGGCGAGCCGGAAUAGUGAGGGCCAACGGAGAGUGUCCUCGAGAAGGUGAGCUCCAAGCCCAGCUAAUCUGCCUUCAGGCCUUCCACGGGAGCGAGUCUCCGUGCGGCACCAUUCCUGAACCACUCACUCGGGCCACGGAAAGCAUCCAUGGCGUAUGGGAAGGGGAAGGUUCGACACGUGUUGGCCUGUUCGGUAACGGCACGUUGUGCCGCAGGGAGGCCUGGGACUGCACCAGAUGUGAGAACGCCUUUCUUGAGAGAGCAGACCUCGGUCAGCACACGAGGACUUACCUCAGGCGACGCCGAGGGAGAGCUUCCAGAUGCCAGAGGGCCCUCGGCUGCGGGCCAGACCUCCUGUGGCACCAGCAGAUUCACACUGGGAGAAGGCCUAUGACUGUCAGAAACGGAGGAGAGGCGAGGACGGCUCUGCUUUGGUCCAGAAUUGUCUUCCCCACCCUAGAGAAAGUGUUUUCAAGUACAAAGAAGUGUACUUGUGACCACUGUUCUCCUGCAAGUCGCAUAAGAGUUCUCCCAGGAGAGAAGCCGUGAGUGCGGUGACGAGGAAAGGCCCCCGGUCACCGCUUUUAUUUCUGGCGUCGUAGGGGCCUCACUGCAGGAAAACUCUGGGAGUGUAAAGACGAUCAGAGACCCUUCUGUGACCGCUCUUUUCUAAGUCAGCACAAGGAGUCACAGUGGGGAAAACUGUAUGAACGCAGUGAGUGUGGACACACUCUCCGCCUUCAUUCAUCCCCCCCUCCCCAGUCUUCGUAUUGGGGAGAAAACCUGUGAGUGUCAGACGUGGGAAAGCCUUUCUCAAGUGGACUCCCUCAGUCAGCACCAGAGAACUCAUACUGAGAAGCCUUUUGAAUGUAAGUCCUGAGGAAAUUCUUUGCCAGAGGAAACCUCCUGCCCAGCAUCUGAAAAAUUAUACCAAAGAGAAACCCCGUAAGUGUCAUCAUUGUGAGAAGAUCUUUCGAAGCAGGUCAUCACUUGUUACUGGAGAUCCACCCAGCCGGGACUGUGCUCUACGAGUGAGGACGUACAAAGGAGAGAAGACCCACAGUUACUGUGGAAUUGCAGAGCCUUCAGCCCUAGCUCGGUCUUGGUAUGCUCUGAGGAGCGAUCCUGGAAUAUUUUUAAAAAGACGGCAAAAGCAUAAGGGAGGAGGAAGAAAAGAAAUAGAUUGACAGAACAAGGAAUACAUAUGGUUUCUUUCAGGUUUUCCUGCCAAACUUGUGACAGUUUUUUAUUAGGAAAAUAAACUACAUAAUCACUAAGGGUCAUAAGUCUUUGUGAUAAAUGUGAAGUCUUAAUUUAUGAAGCACUUAAAUUAGAAUACUAAAAAUAUUGUUGCCUAAAAUUAUAUCUAAGGAACAGAGGAUAAAUACAUGAAUGGGUACAUUUUACUGCACCAUUUAAGAUCAUUUAAGGUUAUUUAUUUUUUCAUUUAGUCUGUAUUGAGAUAUAAUUGACAUGUCCUAAUUGGCAUAUACCAUCAUGUAAGUUUACGGUGUACAACAUUGAUCUUGUUGAAUUUAUAUUGCGACAUGAUUGCCAUUGUAGCGUAUACUAGCCUCUGUAUCCUGGCGGUAGCCUGUGUUCCUGGUGGUAGGAACAGUUCCUUGUCUCUUGCCAAGUUUACUGUUUGUAUUCAGUUUUGUCCCUCGUAGCCGUGUACUGUGUACUCAGUGUCCAUGGCUUACUUAGGUGUGAGUGCGCACCGCUAAACAGCACCCGCCCGACGCCCCGCAGCCUGUAGUAACCGUCCUUCCACUCUGAGUUGAAUUCAGAGUUUUGUUUUUCUUUUAAGAUUCUACAUAUAAAAAAUACAGUAUUUGUAUUUUUGUGUUUGACUUACCUCACUUAGCAUAAUGUCCCCAGGGUCCAUCUGUAUUGUCAGAAAUGGCAGCAUUUCCUUUUUUCUCGUGGCCGACUAACAUGCCACUGUGUAUACACGUCCUCAUCCUUUGAUGGACACGUAAGCUGUCACUACAUCUUGUGUCUUGUGUGCGGUGCGGACAAUAAACACGGGAGUACAGAUACUCUGA
Long non-coding RNA from Suricata suricatta (meerkat), 3314 nucleotides. RefSeq lists it as uncharacterized. Lineage: Eukaryota; Metazoa; Chordata; Mammalia; Carnivora; Herpestidae. The transcript has 4 exons. The record is from RefSeq and is a predicted model, not a curated record.